AUAAUUAUAAUUUAAAAAAAAAUAUUUCUUUUACAAAGAAAAAUUAAAUAUAUAUUUUAAUUAUA
RNAcentral lists this transfer RNA (65 nucleotides) under Psephenothrips eriobotryae. RNAcentral's name for it is "tRNA-Val". Lineage: Eukaryota; Metazoa; Arthropoda; Insecta; Thysanoptera; Phlaeothripidae. The record is from RNAcentral.